Molecule: ribosomal RNA, 554 nt
Filed under: uncultured bacterium
Lineage: Bacteria
Description: bacterial SSU rRNA
Rfam family: Bacterial small subunit ribosomal RNA
Source: RNAcentral
AUCUUCGGCAAUGGGCGCAAGCCUGACCGAGCGACGCCGCGUGCGGGAUGAAGGCCUUCGGGUUGUAAACCGCUGUCGUAGAGGAGGAAAUGCAGGGGGGUUCUCCCCUCUGUUUGACCUAUUCUAGGAGGAAGUACGGGCUAAGUUCGUGCCAGCAGCCGCGGUAAGACGAACCGUACGAACGUUAUUCGGAAUUACUGGGCUUAAAGGGUGCGUAGGCGGCGCGGAAAGUUGGGUGUGAAAGCCCUCAGCUCAACUGAGGAAUUGCACUCAAAACUACCGUGCUCGAGGGAGACAGAGGUGAGCGGAACUCAAGGUGGAGCGGUGAAAUGCGUUGAUAUCUUGAGGAACACCGGUGGCGAAAGCGGCUCACUGGGUCUUUUCUGACGCUGAGGCACGAAAGCCAAGGUAGCAAACGGGAUUAGAUACCCCGGUAGUCUUGGCUGUAAACGAUGAGCACUUGAUUGAAGGGUCCUCCAUAGCCUUUCAGUCGUAUCGAAAGUGUUAAGUGCUCCGCCUGGGGAGUAUGGUCGCAAGGCUGAAACUCAAAGGAA